GCUCAGAACGAACGCUGGCGGCGUGGAUAAGACAUGCAAGUCGAGCGCUGGUUACGGGGUAGCAAUAUUUCGUAAUUGGAGCGGCGCAAGGGUGCGUAACACGUGGGUAAUCUGCCAUGAAGUUCGGGAUAACUUGCUGAAAGGCGAGCUAAUACCGGAUGUGACACCUGGGGGGCAUCUCCCGGUUGUCAAAGUUGGGGACCGUAAGGCCUGACGCUUCAUGAUGAGCCCGCGGCCUAUCAGCUAGUUGGUGAGGUAACGGCUCACCAAGGCUAAGACGGGUAGCUGGUCUGAGAGGACGACCAGCCACACUGGAACUGAGACACGGUCCAGACACCUACGGGUGGCAGCAGUCGAGAAUUUUUCACAAUGGGCGCAAGCCUGAUGGAGCGACGCCGCGUGGGGGAUGAAUGGCUUCGGCCCGUAAACCCCUGUCAUUCGCGAUCAACCCUUAUUAUUUAAAAGAUGAUAAGCUGAUAGUAGCGGAAGAGGAAGGGACGGCUAACUCUGUGCCAGCAGCCGCGGUAAUACAGAGGUCCCAGGCGUUGUUCGGAUUCACUGGGCGUAAAGGGUGCGUAGGUGGUGAGGUAAGUCGGAUGUGAAAGCUCGGAGCUCAACUCCGAAAUGGCAUUGGAAACUACCUUGCUCGAGGGUUGGAGGGGGGACUGGAAUACUUGGUGUAGCAGUGAAAUGCGUAGAUAUCAAGUGGAACACCAGUGGCGAAGGCGAGUCCCUGGACAACUCCUGACACUGAGGCACGAAAGCUAGGGGAGCAAACAGGAUUAGAUACCCUGGUAGUCCUAGCCGUAAACGGUGCACGUUUGCUGUAAAAGGAAUCGACCCCUUUUGUGGCGUAGCCAACGCGUUAAACGUGCCGCCUGGGAAGUACGGUC
Molecule: ribosomal RNA, 893 nt
Filed under: uncultured bacterium
Lineage: Bacteria
Description: bacterial SSU rRNA
Rfam family: Bacterial small subunit ribosomal RNA
Source: RNAcentral